AAUGUCGGGAGGAAAGUCCGGGCAGCUCGAGCCACCAUGCUUCCUAACGGGAAGGGACUCUGUCUGUAAAGGCAGAGUUACAGCCAGCGCCACAGAAAAGAUACCACCGAAAGGUAAGGGUGAAAACGCGGGGUAAGAGCCCACGACGUGUCCUGGUGACAGGCACGAUGGCAAGCCUCAUGGGCUGAAAGACCAUGUAUACCAGUCUGUCGUAUGACAGCAAGCCGGCUCGCUUGUUUGGCUGGGGGGUAGGUUGAUAGAGGCCGUCGGCGACGGCGGCCCUAGAUUAAUGAUAGAACACGACAGAACCCGGCUUAUAGACCGUU
Molecule: RNase P RNA, 326 nt
Filed under: bovine gut metagenome
Description: Bacterial RNase P class A
Rfam family: Bacterial RNase P class A
About the family: Ribonuclease P (RNase P) is a ubiquitous endoribonuclease, found in archaea, bacteria and eukarya as well as chloroplasts and mitochondria. Its best characterised activity is the generation of mature 5'-ends of tRNAs by cleaving the 5'-leader elements of precursor-tRNAs. Cellular RNase Ps are ribonucleoproteins.
Source: RNAcentral